GAUGAACGCUGGCGGCGUGCCUAAUACAUGCAAGUCGAACGAAGGUAGCAAUACCUUAGUGGCGAACGGGUGAGUAACACGUAGGUAACCUGCCUUUCAGUUGGGGAUAACCGAGGGAAACUUUGGCUAAUACCGAAUUCGUGCUUCGAAGGCAUCUUCGGAGCAUAAAAGGGGCCUUUAAAGCCUCGCUGAUUGAUGGACCUGCGGCGCAUUAGUUAGUUGGUGAGAUAACAGCCCACCAAGACGAGGAUGCGUAGCCGACCUGAGAGGGUGAUCGGCCACACUGGAACUGAGACACGGUCCAGACUCCUACGGGAGGCAGCAGUAGGGAGUUUUCGGCAAUGGGGGAAACCCUGACCGAGCAACGCCGCGUGAGUGAUGAAGGUCUUCGGAUUGUAAAGCUCUGUUAUAAGGGAAGAACGGCAGCUAGAGGAAAUGCUAGCUGUUUGACGGUACUUUAUGAGAAAGCCACGGCUAACUACGUGCCAGCAGCCGCGGUAAUACGU
RNAcentral lists this ribosomal RNA (506 nucleotides) under uncultured bacterium. RNAcentral describes it as "bacterial SSU rRNA". It matches the Rfam family "Bacterial small subunit ribosomal RNA", at positions 28 to 528 of the family's 1533-position model. The record is from RNAcentral.